GCCGGGUGUGGUGGCGCACACCUGUAAUCCCAGCUACUCAGGAGGCUGAGGCAGGAGAAUUGCUUGAACUCAGGAGGUAGAGGUUGCAGUGAGCCAAGAUCGCACCACUGCAUUCCAGCCUGGGUGACAGAGUGAGACUCUGUCUCAA
This 148-nucleotide signal recognition particle RNA is filed under the name Pan paniscus (pygmy chimpanzee). RNAcentral's name for it is "Metazoan signal recognition particle RNA". It matches the Rfam family "Metazoan signal recognition particle RNA". From Rfam's summary of the family: The signal recognition particle (SRP) is a universally conserved ribonucleoprotein. It is involved in the co-translational targeting of proteins to membranes. Lineage: Eukaryota; Metazoa; Chordata; Mammalia; Primates; Hominidae. RNAcentral also lists the same sequence under 1 other name. The record is from Rfam by way of RNAcentral.